Molecule: long non-coding RNA, 913 nt
Organism: Hyla sarda
Lineage: Eukaryota; Metazoa; Chordata; Amphibia; Anura; Hylidae
Exons: 3
Source: RefSeq, a predicted model, not a curated record
ACAACCAUUUGAUAUCUAUCAUUUUUUUUUUUUUUUUUUUAUUAACCCCUAUUCCAACAACUCCCCGGGCUGGAGGCGCCUCCCAUGUGGCCCUUCACUUAAGGCUCCAGGCCCUUAGCGUUAGCUCGGUCAGUCUGGUCACGGCCGGAGUGGUUGUUCCGCAAAGUUCCAAUCAGAGAGCAGCACUGCUCAAAUAGAACUCCCAGGAGGUAACAGCGUGUCACACAUGUGAUGUCAUAACCAUUGUCCACCAGAGAGCAGCACUGAGCAGAUAUAACACUGCUCCUGCUCAUUCUCCAUCAGUGAGGGGCCGGUGCUGGACACUGUAGGGACGCGGGAAUGUGAAGUCAAAAACAUGACUGUGACUGAUGCAUUAUUUCCAGCAUGUGGAGUAGCAUUUCCGGACUUAAAGCAAGAAGUUGGAUGAUGGCCUAGAUUUCCGGACCUACAGCAAGACGUUGGAUGAAGGCCUAGAUUUCCGGACCUACAGCAAGAAGUUGGAUGAAGGCACAGCCCCUCGAAUCACGAACAUACACAGACACAUUGGCCCAAAUUCUAGAGGUAACCUCCUUUAGUAUGCCCAGAGGAAGGGCAAUACAGUAGCCAUGGAUUCCCUACAGGUUUCCUCCCCUCUGGAGGUUUUUCCUGUCCUGAGUUAGUUACUGUACGCUCUUUGUGAGUGAUGGGAGGUUACAAAAAAUCCCUACACAAACACUUUUAUAAAUAAUAAAUAAAGUUCCCCUUUUUUUAAACUGUUCUUUAACUUGUUCGACUCAUUUAUUUUAUUUCUGUGUGUGAAAAACAGUGUUAGCAAAAUGUAAAUGACAUGAGUUUUUUUUUCUUUUUUUUAAGUGUCUAAAGCUGCUCGAUCUGCACAAUGCGGAGCCGAGAGAGGCAACUGGUGUUGGGUGGU